GUGGUGCUCUGUCAGUAGAAGCCAUACCGUCCUGGGUUGGUGACAGGGAUUCCAUUUUGCCCCUUGCACUGCAAGGCAGAGGCCUUGAGUCCCAGCUCCCGUCAUCCACAGGGUUGUGAAGGGAAGGAACAGGGUGCUUGGGCCCUGCCCUGCAGAUGGGAUCCAGAGAGGUGAUGCGUUCAGGGCAUUCAACCUGAGUCAAGGGGCUUCCAGGGACACGAGCCCCUUUGAAGUUGAGGACUCUGCAGGCGGAAGACAGAGCUGGGAGGGCCUCCCUGUCGGCCUUCCGUCUCACACAGCCGGAUCCAAAGUCUAUCCCAACCUCAUCUGUGGCAAGACAGAGCCUCAGGCUGGUUCAGUCCCACAGCAGCUGCUCAGCAAGUAUGAGUGAGUGUCUGUCUACGCCUCUCCGUGUGCAGGAGACAGCACCUGACAUUGAGACCCCCCGCAGCAGGCCCCGUGCAGGGAUCUUCAUUUAUACUGGUUUAGGCUUCCUUCCUGGUAUUUGAGUCAUUUCCCAAGGUCUUUGCAGCAGCCAAGGAACUCACUACUCAAGGCGGCCUCCCAGUUCUGUUGCUUGUUCCUCCAGUAGCCUUCUACUCAGAGGCAGGCUGAAGCUGGGCAGAUUUGGGAGAAAAUAAGGUCUGAAGACAGGGCUCUGUACAGAGGCGGGGUUCCUGUAUGCUGUUGUCCUGGCUGCUCCUGCCCCUGGGUGGCAGUGGGCAGGUGCACCUCAAAAACUGCAGUAACAGCCUGUGUUUAUAAAUAAAGCUUUAUUGGGACACAGU
This 788-nucleotide long non-coding RNA is filed under the name Chinchilla lanigera (long-tailed chinchilla). RNAcentral's name for it is "lncRNA (ENSCLAG00000023588.1)". The record is from RNAcentral. Lineage: Eukaryota; Metazoa; Chordata; Mammalia; Rodentia; Chinchillidae.